CAGGGAGACAACAAAAUGUUUAAUAUUAUUAUUUUGUCACCUUAGGUCGAUCGGUAUCUCACUUUCUUAAAUCUAUUAAGAAUUUCAUUUCCUAAGUUUUUCUAGGUCACACCCAUUAUUUUCCCUGGGCCAUUAGCUCAGGUGGUUAGAGCGCACCCCUGAUAAGGGUGAGGUCCCUGGUUCAAGUCCAGGAUGGCCCAUAUCUCUAUGUUGGGGGUAUAGCUCAGUUGGUAGAGCGCCUGCUUUGCAAGCAGGAUGUCAGCGGUUCGAGUCCGCUUACCUCCACUGAUUACCACCUCUGCCAUAUUUCGUAAUACGGGGAAUAUUUUGAGCUGUGAUCAAAUUCUGAACGAAUCUAGCUUCCUAAUGAAAUUAUUAAGAUGCUGGACUCAUUGAAUUAAUUUCAUUGUUUUCAGAGAACCUUGACAACUGCAUAGAUUAUUUUUAAAGACAAUAAGCAUCUUUAAUGAUGCAGAUUUAUUAUUUGUGCGAAUGCAUUAAUAACAAUUCUAUUAAGCUGAUGCUUCAAUUUUGAAGUUAUU
Molecule: transfer RNA, 542 nt
Filed under: uncultured Prochlorococcus sp.
Lineage: Bacteria; Bacillati; Cyanobacteriota; Cyanophyceae; Synechococcales; Prochlorococcaceae
Description: partial 16S-23S ribosomal RNA intergenic spacer
Rfam family: tRNA (bases 213-285)
Source: RNAcentral